UCUAAUAUGGCAGAAUAGUGCAAUGAAUUUAAGCUUCAUACAUAAAGUUUAUUACUUUUGUUAGAA
Molecule: transfer RNA, 66 nt
Filed under: Chironomus novosibiricus
Lineage: Eukaryota; Metazoa; Arthropoda; Insecta; Diptera; Chironomidae
Description: tRNA-Leu
Source: RNAcentral